RNAcentral lists this transfer RNA (65 nucleotides) under Iguana iguana (Common green iguana). Its description in RNAcentral is "transfer RNA-Lys". The record is from RNAcentral. Lineage: Eukaryota; Metazoa; Chordata; Lepidosauria; Squamata; Iguanidae. RNAcentral also lists the same sequence under 1 other name.
CACUGAGAAGCUUCUACCAGCGCUAGCCUUUUAAGCUAGAGAGGGAAAUAACCUUCCCUCAGUGA